CCUACGGGUGGCAGCAGUGGGGAAUAUUGGACAAUGGGCGAAAGCCUGAUCCAGCCAUGCCGCGUGUGUGAAGAAGGCCUUCGGGUUGUAAAGCACUUUCAGUGGGGAAGGAAGCCUUGGGGCUAAUACCCUCGAGGAAGGACAUCACCCACAGAAGAAGCACCGGCUAACUCCGUGCCAGCAGCCGCGGUAAUACGGAGGGUGCGAGCGUUAAUCGGAAUUACUGGGCGUAAAGCGCGCGUAGGCGGUCUGAUAAGCCGGUUGUGAAAGCCCCGGGCUCAACCUGGGAACGGCAUCCGGAACUGUCAGGCUAGAGUGCAGGAGAGGAAGGUAGAAUUCCCGGUGUAGCGGUGAAAUGCGUAGAGAUCGGGAGGAAUACCAGUGGCGAAGGCGGCCUUCUGGACUGACACUGACGCUGAGGUGCGAAAGCGUGGGUAGCAAACAGGAUUAGAUACCCCAGUAGUC
Molecule: ribosomal RNA, 465 nt
Filed under: Vreelandella stevensii
Lineage: Bacteria; Pseudomonadati; Pseudomonadota; Gammaproteobacteria; Oceanospirillales; Halomonadaceae
Description: partial 16S ribosomal RNA
Rfam family: Bacterial small subunit ribosomal RNA
Source: RNAcentral